This 494-nucleotide ribosomal RNA is filed under the name uncultured bacterium. Its description in RNAcentral is "partial 16S ribosomal RNA". It matches the Rfam family "Bacterial small subunit ribosomal RNA", at positions 28 to 507 of the family's 1533-position model. The record is from RNAcentral.
GACAAACGCUGGCGGCGUGCUUAACACAUGCAAGUCGAACGGUGAAGCGCCUUCCUUUUUGGUGGGUGUGGAUGAGUGGCGAACGGGUGAGUAACACGUGAGUAACCUGCCCCCUUCUUCUGGAUAACCGCAUGAAAGUGUGGCUAAUACGGGAUAUUCUGGGUCUGUCGCAUGAUGGGUCUGGGAAAGAUAUUGUUUCGGUGGGGGAUGGGCUCGCGGCCUAUCAGCUUGUUGGUGGGGUGAUGGCCUACCAAGGCGGUGACGGGUAGCCGGCCUGAGAGGGUGGACGGUCACACUGGGACUGAGACACGGCCCAGACUCCUACGGGAGGCAGCAGUGGGGAAUAUUGCACAAUGGGCGCAAGCCUGAUGCAGCGACACCGCGUGAGGGAUGGAGGCCUUCGGGUUGUGAACCUCUUUCGCCAGUGAAGCAGGCCUGCCUCGUUUGUGGGUGGGUUGACGGUAGCUGGAUAAGAAGCGCCGGCUAACUACGUG